AUUUCACAGCCUGCCCAGAAAACAGCCCCGCUAGAGCUAAAGCAGGGAAGCAGCCGCGUGGGGCCGGGAGCUCCCUGCCGAGGACCUGAUCAGUGCAGCUCCCGGGCUGCGUGUUGCCUCCGAAGGCGAACGCUGGCGGCGAGGGGGAUCAAGCAUGACGCACCGCUUCUGUCCACACUGCAACAGCCAAUCUGCAGCAGAUUAAGGAGAGCAAACAGCGUCGGGACUCUGCCCCGAGGCAGUCGGUGCACGCGGCUCGGGGGGCAGCAUCUGGGCUGGCCGCAAAGUCUGACAUCCCGCUAUGAGGAGGGCAAGGGGGGUCUUGGCAGCUUACCAGCGCAAGCCGGAGCAGCACAGCCUGCCUGCCGCUGCCGACACACCUCUCCUGCCCCUAAGGAAACCCUCGCCCGUGGAGCCAAACUCUCACGGCUUGUGACCCCCCUCAAAGGGAAGAUGAGAGUCCACGCUUGGAAAGCACGUCCCUGGAGGAAGCCGGAGCUCCUCAGGGGAGCAGGGGACAUCGUGGCUGAUCUCCUCCGAGAAGGAGGACUGUCAUGGUGGAGAGCAGAGGUGCUAUGGCUGGGGAACAUGGCCCCAGGCCACCUGCUCUGCACUGACCAUAUCUGCUGUAAGGGUCAUAACAAGGAAACGAAGCUGAGAAGUUUCUCCUCAUGCUCCAUCGCCUGUUUUGCAAAUUCCCACUCAAGUGGGCACGGAGGAACAGGUCCUCAUGCCAUGCCGGGAUCGCUCCCUGGGCCUGUCUUGUGAGUCUGCUGCUGUGUCGGCUCUGCCAAGUGUGAGUGCGGCCGAGAUCACCCGGGUUUUAUUCCUACAGUCUUAGCUUGCAUUCACUUAGCAGCCUCUGAGGGCAGAUUUGCCCUCCUGCCAGGACCACGUGGCGCUAAACACAGAGCAUUAUUUAGAAUCUAAGGUGCAAAUAAUAAUUCCUUUACUCCAGUUAUUGUAACUGCUGGAGAAUACUUCCCAGGCAUGGAGGCAAUACAAUUGCAUUGACUUCCAUCAAGGUGGUGGGUUGGCUCAUUUUAUGUAAACCAGUUAAGACGGAGCCUCAAGAUCUGGUGUUAGUUUUGCAUCACUGGGUGCUGCUUGUUUAUAAUCAGGGUCCUGGCCUGGCUCUCCUUAUGUGAGGGAUUUUUCAUUUUAAAUUUGGUUUUAACUUUCUGGUGGAGGGUGAUAGGACAGAGCAGACGUUUCAGUGUCUUGAGCAGCCUUUCAGAAAUUGCAAGGCCACUAACUUUGCUGCUUGAAUCCAUUUGGACAAGGUGAAAGGUAGCACAAAGAAUUAUUGGUAGCAUUCUUGAUAAUAUGAAUACGUGUCUUCAAGCAAGUUUUUGUAGUCAGAAUAAUCUUACAUGAGUAGGUCAAACUUGAACAGCAAGAGCCAUCAGUUUUCCCUGACCUAGCGCGGUGCACAAGUGCCGUUCUGCCAAGGAAAGAGCGGGGGGACGAGGUGCAGAAGACACUAGUGUCCGUUCAGGGCAGCGCCACCGUACAGAGGUGAUGUUAUCCCCAGGCACUGAUUUCAUCGGGCAUAAAAGCAAAAUGACGUCUAACUCCCAGGUGUAACUACCUAUAGCCUCUCUGCACGGCUCUGACUCCUCAAUGCACCGUUUCCUUCUGGGGCUGCAUGAGGGGUCGUGCUCCUUGGGGGGUUUGGGGGAG
Molecule: long non-coding RNA, 1683 nt
Organism: Apteryx rowi (Okarito brown kiwi)
Lineage: Eukaryota; Metazoa; Chordata; Aves; Apterygiformes; Apterygidae
Source: Ensembl